This 488-nucleotide ribosomal RNA is filed under the name uncultured bacterium. RNAcentral describes it as "bacterial SSU rRNA". It matches the Rfam family "Bacterial small subunit ribosomal RNA", at positions 29 to 507 of the family's 1533-position model. The record is from RNAcentral.
AUUGAACGCUGGCGGCAGGCCUAACACAUGCAAGUCGAGCGGAAACGAUCCUAGCUUGCUAGGAGGCGUCGAGCGGCGGACGGGUGAGUAACGCGUGAGAAUCUACCCAUGAGUGGGGGACAACCCGGGGAAACUCGGGCUAAUACCGCAUACGCCCUACGGGGUAAAGCAGGGGACCUUCGGGCCUUGCGCUGAUGGAUGAGCUCGCGUCGGAUUAGCUUGUUGGUGAGGUAAAGGCUCACCAAGGCGACGAUCCGUAGCUGGUCUGAGAGGAUGAUCAGCCACACCGGGACUGAGACACGGCCCGGACUCCUGCGGGAGGCAGCAGUGGGGAAUCUUGGACAAUGGGGGCAACCCUGAUCCAGCCAUGCCGCGUGUGUGAAGAAGGCCUUCGGGUUGUAAAGCACUUUCAGCAGGGAGGAAGGCUUACCCCUAAUACGGGUGAGUACUUGACGUUACCUGCAGAAGAAGCACCGGCUAAUUUCGUG